RNAcentral lists this ribosomal RNA (253 nucleotides) under uncultured bacterium. RNAcentral's name for it is "partial 16S ribosomal RNA". It matches the Rfam family "Bacterial small subunit ribosomal RNA", at positions 524 to 776 of the family's 1533-position model. The record is from RNAcentral.
UACGUAGGGUGCAAGCGUUGUCCGGAAUUAUUGGGCGUAAAGAGCUCGUAGGUGGCGGGUCACGUCGGGUGUGAAAGCCCGGGGCUUAACCCCGGGUCUGCAUUCGAUACGGGCUUGCUAGGGUCCGGCAGGGGAGACUGGAAUUCCUGGUGUAGCGGUGAAAUGCGUAGAGAUCCGGAAGAACACCGGUGGCGAAGGCGGCCUGCUGGGCAGUAGCUGACACUGAGGCGCGACAGCGUGGGGAGCAAACAGG